UCCCGGCCUUCCCCAGGUCCCCGCCCGCCGCCCGGUGCGCCCCUCAGCCUGCUUCCCGGCAGCGCAGGGCACUGAGCCGGAGAGGGCCGCGCGCGGAGGCGGGGCGGGCUUGGGCGACUGCGGCCGCCAAGGGCCCAGACUGGGGGAGCGGAGGGUAGGCUCUGCCCUGGGCUGGGGGUCCUCGCUACAAGCGCGCCGGAGUCCCACCGGGCCGGAGGGAAUCCCCGGUGAUGCCAGCUCGCUUGUGCGCCGAGCUUUCCACGGUCUUUCCCUGAGCCCUCUUACCCUUCCCCACACCGUCCUGGAAGCAAGCGGUCUUCCCACUUUCCUGCUGAGGAAGGCGAGUUCAGUGAAAUAGGAGGGCCAGAGAUGCUCCGGGAUAGGUGCAGUUCCCGCAGAAGACCGCCGACUGAGCUCCAGCUCCAGUGAUCUGAGCGCCUCUUUGGGUACCACCCAGCAUCCGCCGGCCUGGUGAGAAGGGCGCGCGCACCUUCUCGCCUCCUUCGACGUCUCCCGCUGUUUCCAGAAGCCGAGUUGCAAACCCGUGCAGAGGGCCAGCGGUCUGCGCAGCUCCCUCCACUCCGGGCAGAGUUGACCUACAGAGUGUGUUCAACGAGUCCCUUAAAUGCCCAGUAGUUCCUCCAAAGGAGCAAGUGGACACUGGCCUCCCAUGUGGGAUGUGGUUAUCUUGUUCUAUCUGCAUAAACCCGAGACUGGACAGAUAAACCAAAGGCUGUGACCUUGAGGAAGCCAGUGUCCUCCUGGGGGAUGCUGGUGGGCUAUGAGAGGACCAGCUUCUAAUGGCAGACGUCUCUGUCCAUGUCCUGACAGUUGAUGCCCAGUCCCUUCUGCAUGGAAAAUCUCCCCUGGCUGAAAAGACACUUUCACCCAGGACUCACUCAACUUUGACCUUGAUGCUGUUUGCCCUCUCUGGGUCUCCAGCUCUCAUGCA
RNAcentral lists this long non-coding RNA (952 nucleotides) under Homo sapiens (human). RNAcentral's name for it is "HSALNT0143685". Lineage: Eukaryota; Metazoa; Chordata; Mammalia; Primates; Hominidae. The record is from RNAcentral.